UUCCGGUUGAUCCUGCCGGAAGCUACCGCUAUUGGAAUCCGAUUAAGCCAUGCGAGUCGAGAGAUUUCGGAUCUCGGCAGACGUCUCAGUAACACGCGGAUAAUCUGCCCUUGAGUGGAGGAUAAUCUCGGAAACCUGAGCAUAAUACUCCAUAGACCUAGGAUGCUGGAAUGCUUCUAGGUUCAAAGCUCCGGCGCUCAAGGAUGAGUCUGCGGCCUAUCAGGCAGUAGUGGGUGUAACGGACCCACUAACCCUUGACGGGUAUGGGCCUUGAGAGAGGUUGCCCAGAGUUGGACUCUGAGACACGAGUCCAGGCCCUACGGGGUGCAGCAGGCGCGAAAACUUCACAAUGUGGGAAACCGCGAUGAGGGGAUUCCAAGUGCCAGCACACUGUGUUGGCUGUUCACCUGCCUAAAAAGCUGGUGAAGUAAGGGCCGGGUAAGACGGGUGCCAGCCGCCGCGGUAAUACCCGCGGCCCGAGUGGUGGUCGUUAUUAUUGAGCCUAAAGCGUCCGUAGCCGGUUUGGUAAAUUUCUGGGUAAAUCGGGCAGCUUAACUGUCCGAAUUCCGGAAAGACUGCCAAACUUGGGACCGGGGGAGGUUGGAGGUACUCCUGGGGUAGGGGUGAAAUCCUGUAAUCCUGGGGGACCACCAGUGGCGAAGGCGUCCAACCAAAACGGAUCCGACGGUAAGGGACGAAGCCCUGGGGCGCAACGGGAUUAGAUACCCCGGUAGUCCAGGGUGUAAACGCUGCAGCUUGGUGUUGGGGGUCCUACGAGGGCGCCCAGUGCGGAGAGAGUGUAAGCCUGCGCUUGGGAGUACGUCGCAGAUGAACUAAGAUUGCGGGGGCACAGCACGGUGGACGUGCGUCAAUGAUCACGCUGAAUCGUCG
RNAcentral lists this ribosomal RNA (891 nucleotides) under uncultured archaeon. Its description in RNAcentral is "bacterial SSU rRNA". It matches the Rfam family "Archaeal small subunit ribosomal RNA", at positions 1 to 917 of the family's 1478-position model. The record is from RNAcentral.